CUGAAAUCAGGUGGGAUCACCCGCUGA
This 27-nucleotide ribosomal RNA is filed under the name Backusella oblongielliptica. RNAcentral's name for it is "partial 28S ribosomal RNA". The record is from RNAcentral. Lineage: Eukaryota; Fungi; Mucoromycota; Mucoromycetes; Mucorales; Backusellaceae.